Non-coding RNA from Operophtera brumata (winter moth), 47 nucleotides. The record is from Rfam. NCBI's taxonomy places the organism in Eukaryota, Metazoa, Arthropoda, Insecta, Lepidoptera, Geometridae.
CAAAAGGCUCUUUUCAGAGCCACCAUACCACAAGUUGGUCUCUGACU